Trematomus bernacchii (emerald rockcod) is the source of this 345-nucleotide non-coding RNA. Lineage: Eukaryota; Metazoa; Chordata; Actinopteri; Perciformes; Nototheniidae. The record is from the annotation of a RefSeq genome assembly.
UUCAUUUUUUUAUUUUUAGUGUCCGUUCUAAGAGUCAGCUGUGAAGAUCUCACUCCAUCAAAGCAAGAAGAGUUCAGUCCAGAAGGCAGCACUGUUACUCUGUCCUACAGAUACUCCAAAACUAUAACGGCUAGUGAAGAUUUCUUCUGGUAUCGACAAUAUCCAGGAAAACAACCAGAGUUUCUUCUCUACAUCUCAGGAACAAGUUUUACAAGACUAGCAGAGUCUCUGAAAUCAGACACAACAUUUGAUGCUACACUCAAUGACAAAUCAGUUCCUCUGCAGAUCUCCUCUGCUGCAGUGACAGACUCUGCUGUGUACUACUGUGCUCUGAAGCCCACAGUG